RNAcentral lists this ribosomal RNA (390 nucleotides) under uncultured bacterium. Its description in RNAcentral is "bacterial SSU rRNA". It matches the Rfam family "Bacterial small subunit ribosomal RNA", at positions 28 to 419 of the family's 1533-position model. The record is from RNAcentral.
GACGAACGCUGGCGGCGUGCUUAACACAUGCAAGUCGAGCGAGGCCCUUCCUUCGGGAAGGUGCCCUAGCGGCGAACGGGUGAGUAACACGUGGGCAACCUGCCCCUAGCACUGGGAUAACUCCGGGAAACCGGGGCUAAUACCGGAUAUGACCUUUGAGGGCAUCCUCACUGGUGUAAAGGAUUCUGGCUAGGGAUGGGCCCGCGGCCUAUCAGCUUGUUGGUGGGGUAAUGGCCUACCAAGGCGACGACGGGUAGCCGGCCUGAGAGGGCGACCGGCCACACUGGGACUGAGACACGGCCCAGACUCCUACGGGAGGCAGCAGUGGGGAAUAUUGCACAAUGGGCGAAAGCCUGAUGCAGCGACGCCGCGUGAGGGAUGACUGCCUUC